This 1320-nucleotide long non-coding RNA is filed under the name Gopherus agassizii (Agassiz's desert tortoise). Its description in RNAcentral is "lncRNA (ENSGAGG00000020893.1)". The record is from RNAcentral. Lineage: Eukaryota; Metazoa; Chordata; Testudines; Testudinidae.
AUGAAAAGGGAAACCACUGAGCGGGAGCCAGGUUCAUUCAUCCCUGAGGGGCUCAGAGAGGAGAAACGAGUCAAAGACCGGAAAAGAAAAAGGGAAGAGGAAAAGGAGAGAGGGAGCAGGGAGUGGAAGGAAACAGAAGUGAGGAAGAAAGAGAAUAAGGAGAAGGGGAAACGUGAACUAAAGGAAAGUAAAGGGGGCGUGAGUAAGAAAGAGGAACCUAAAAAGGAAAGGGAGGGAAAGGACCAGGAGAAGCGAGAUGGUGCAGAGCCCAGCAAAGCCAAGGAGGAGAAGGGAAUCACUGAAGCCAUCUCCGGAAAAGGCAAAGGGCCGGAGGAGAUGGCAACGCAAGAGGGUCGCCCUAGGUUGAAAAGAGCAAAGGAGCCCGAGCAAAUGGAGAGUGGGGAUCAUGCAGAGGGAUUGGAUGGGGGCGCUGGUGAUCAAAGCAAAAAGCAAAAGCAAGGGAGUGAGACAGCAGGGGCGGCGGCAAACAGGGCCAAUACAGGUGAAACACAGAUGGAGAGAGGAAAGAACAGAACAGAAGACAAAGAAAGGGCAGAGGGAGAAGAGAAGCCUGCCCAAUGGCCAGCAAGAGCAGCAGAGGCUGAGGAGAAAAGGGAAGAUAAAGACACAGAGGGAGAGAAAAAGAAUGUCAAAGCAAAUAAGGAAGUGAAGGCAGGAAAGAACCACAAAGAGAGAGGGCAGGAAAAGAGGGAAGAAAAGAUAAAGGAAGCGAAAAACAAGAAGGAGAAAAGGGAAGGAGAGAAGAACAAAGAGAGUGAAGAAAAGACGGGAAGGAAAAAACCUCAGAAGGAUGAAAGGGUGGAAGAUGAGCAAGAAAUGGAAACGGCAGAAGAUGGGGCGAUAGAAGAACAAGAGGGAAAGGAUGAGAGAGAGAAUGAGAAAAGGGAUGAUGUGGAGGAAGAGAGGAAAAGAAAUAAGAGAAUGAAGGAUGAAGAGGAGGAUGAACAAGAGGGAGAAGGAUGGGAAAGGAAUGGAAGAAUGGGAGGUGAACAGGAAAUGGAGAAAAUGGAAAAGGAAGAUGAGAUGGAGAAAGAUGAGACGAGGGAAAAAAAGGAGAAACAAGGAAAGGAGACGAACCAGGCCAAGAAAAAAAACAAGGAGAGAAAAGCAAAGGAUGAAAAUAAACACACAGAAGAGAAGGGAAGAAAGAGCAAAGAGAAAUCCAAGGAGGUGGAGAAUGAGGGGGGAUCGAGGAAAAGGAAAAGCAAAGAGGAAGGAGACAAGAAGAAAAACAAGAAAUUAAAGAAGGAGGAAGAUGAGAAGGAAAAGAAGAAAGAGGAAAACAAGUGGAAGUGGUAA